This is a long non-coding RNA of Phasianus colchicus (ring-necked pheasant), 1599 nucleotides long. The record is from Ensembl. NCBI's taxonomy places the organism in Eukaryota, Metazoa, Chordata, Aves, Galliformes, Phasianidae.
AAGACACAGCAUACUAGAGCAUAAAACCACUAAGGUCUGCAAAAUUCUCCGCUAUUAUGGAAAAAGGAACUUACCACAAGAGACUGAGUCCUGGGAAGCCAUCAGUCAGCUGAGGAUGUGGUGCCAGAGUGGAUCUGCAGCUGAAGAGCUCAUGGGGCCAGGAUGUGAAACGGCUAAUCAGAAUAAUCAAAUUGGCUGGUUUUGCCUUGUGAAAAUCAUUUUGUUUCAACAAUACCUAAAAUCUCCAUUUCCAUAAGGUACACACAUUUUACUUCUAUCAUAACAAAUCAUUAUACCAGCAAAUAUUAAACACAUCACUGAAAUAUAAUAUUAAAAUUAAUAUUUGAUAUUGUCCUAAAAGUUCACGUGAAAUUAAUGGAAAUAGAUGAGUUGAAAGAGGAAUUUAUUUACUUUACCUCAGCAGGAUGAGAUAUUUUGGUACUAUCAAGAGAAACUUAGCAAGAGCUUUUUUCAGCACUUUGUUCUAGUCUGUAAUUUUAUCAGGGAUUGCACGUUUUUGAGAAAAUCAAAGGCAAAUAUCUAUUCUGAAGAAAAGCUGUUCUGCUGGAAAAGCUCCAAGCAAUCUUUUUUCUAAAACCUUCCUCAAAAUUACCUCAUCCCAUGCCCUGAGCCCUCUCUACUCUCUUCUGUUGGUCACAUUUGCACUCCAUCAAAUACCCUGCCCUAAUCUAGGUCUAUAGUUGAGGUCUUUGGCCACCAAUCAGUCCUGGCCCUCUGACAUCUCUCCAACCUUGCCUUUCAUCCACGUGGCAGAGGUCAAUCCUCUAUCUUGUCUUCUGCUGUCUCAGUGCAGAGGCAGUGCAUUGGGUUUCUGCUGGGUGACCAUCAUGGUCUCUGCCCAGGCCCAUCAUUGCCUGUGGGGAGACUUCAAAUUCAUGCCACCAGGCCCCUCACUGCAUGGCGGCUUGCAGUGAGAGAGUGGGAGAGAGGCCUUGAGGGGAGCAGCAGCCAGUGGGGGGUAAUGGUUUCCAUAAGUGCUGGCUUUCCACCCAGCUAAGGUUCUUGUGUGGUCUUACAUCAUCGUGCAGCUCAGGACAUCUACACCCAACAGGCAGUCACAAGAAGUCAGGGAUCACAGGCAGUGCACAGGGCAGUGACAGAACAGAUGUCCUAACUCCAGCCCACUGCUGAGUAUCCCUGUUUGCUGGGCUGAAGUGUUAUUCCUCCUGCAGCACUUUAGGCCGACAUUUAUACGUCCUCUUCUGGUCCCUGUAUGAGAACAUUGCAAAGUGGGAUAUGUUCACUCUAUUCCUCUGUGUGAGAAUUGCUAUAACUUCCAACAAGCAGAGGGAUAUUGAACUUCAGUAAUUAUGAAGCUAUUCAAGCAAAAACCCAUGACUCCAAAACAUACAAAGAUACUUACAAGGCUUCUCAAUAAUCCAUGGACCAGUAAGGGGCUGACAAGCAAUGCAUCAUUCUUCCUACCCGGGAUGAAUUGAUUCUGUCACCAGCAAACUAAAUGCAAUCAGAAUCUUGACUUGAAUCAUAAAUCGUACUUAAGCCACAGUUAGCAGUAAAGCGAAGUGAAGCAGAUAAAAAAAGAAAAAAUAAAAAAUAAGGGGAAGAGAUGGUAUAGCA